This 497-nucleotide ribosomal RNA is filed under the name uncultured bacterium. Its description in RNAcentral is "partial 16S ribosomal RNA". It matches the Rfam family "Bacterial small subunit ribosomal RNA", at positions 28 to 507 of the family's 1533-position model. The record is from RNAcentral.
GAUGAACGCUGGCGGCGUGCCUAAUACAUGCAAGUCGAGCGAACAGACGAGGAGCUUGCUCCUCUGACGUUAGCGGCGGACGGGUGAGUAACACGUGGAUAACCUACCUAUAAGACUGGGAUAACUUCGGGAAACCGGAGCUAAUACCGGAUAAUAUAUUGAACCGCAUGGUUCAAUAGUGAAAGACGGUUUUGCUGUCACUUAUAGUUGGAUCCGCGCCGCAUUAGCUAGUUGGUAAGGUAACGGCUUACCAAGGCAACGAUGCGUAGCCGACCUGAGCGGGUGAUCGGCCACACUGGAACUGAGACACGGUCCAGACUCCUACGGGAGGCAGCAGUAGGGAAUCUUCCGCAAUGGGCGAAAGCCUGACGGAGCAACGCCGCGUGAGUGAUGAAGGUCUUCGGAUCGUAAAACUCUGUUAUUAGGGAAGAACAAAUGUGUAAGUAACUAUGCACGUCUUGACGGUACCUAAUCAGAAAGCCACGGCUAACUACGUG